AGAACCAUCACUCGCUAAUGGCUGACACGCGUUCUGGACAUUGUCCUGGUCCUGCAAAAGCGACUUUCGGCUUCCCCACUUUGGAAUCAGGAAAACUAUCUGCACUUGCGUUAUCUGUGAACUUCCCGCCUAAAACUGCCUGAACGUAAAAUGGUUUCUCUGCAAAGCAUGGUCAACGUUCAAUAAAGGUUCAGGUCAAUCUCCCCAUGAAUCAUCAUUGUCGUUGGCUGGAAUGGUGGAUUGAGAUCUUCUACCACCCUUGUGUUUCAUGUUCAGAUAUGAAGGCAUGUGUUCGUUCCUGGGCUUGUCAACUGGACAAGGCCGGCUCAGCAGAUUAUUGAAGAUGCCCAACAUAAGCACCAUAGCAGUGAAUGUGUUGAAAUAAGGUCUAAUUUAUCUUUGGAUGGAUUGGUUCAUUUGCAACUAUAUAUAUUAGAAUAUGUAUAAUUAUAACCGCAAUUAUGUAUAUUAGAAUUGUUCACUGAAGGGUGGUAUCUUGAUGCAAUCAUUCAACGGGGGGAUAGAUCGUUAACGAAAAGAAUGCCCGUUAGCUUCGUAAAGUCAACAUAGUUUUGAUGUGUUGCAGUAACUGGAAGGCAAGCAGACUACCUAUAUUGAGUUUCUUUUUUUUAAACAUUUUACAGUAAAUAUAAAAACUUGGAUUAACUGAAUGGUUUACGAGGUAAACGGAAAUCCAUGUUGGUAACAGUCCUUUGACGUUCUUUUGUCCGAAAAUCAGCAGUUCGACAGUUGUAGAAAAUUUUCGAUGGAUGCUACAACAGAACAGGCUGGGUAUGAGGGGGGAAUUUAAGUCGCUAAUUUCAGUGGCCAUUUUGUUUGAGAAGGUGCAGUAGCGACUUGCGUGCUCAGCACAGAACUGGCAUACCUUUUAUCGGAAUUCUGGAAAUUGAUUACUGAUCUAAAGCUAAUAAUUUAUUCGACUACAUUGUGGAGAAAAUGUAGUCAUUCUGAACUGCAAGGUAACAAAUCUAAAUACAUUUUGCUUGAGAUGACUAGAAAAAGUGAUUUUUAUUGUGGUACCCAUC
This is a long non-coding RNA of Daphnia carinata, 1046 nucleotides long. RefSeq lists it as uncharacterized. The transcript has 6 exons. Lineage: Eukaryota; Metazoa; Arthropoda; Branchiopoda; Diplostraca; Daphniidae. The record is from RefSeq and is a predicted model, not a curated record.